CAGGACGAACGCUGGCGGCGUGCCUAAUACAUGCAAGUCGAACGGUCUUUUCUAUGGAAGCUUGCUUCCACUGAGAAGAUAGUGGCGAACGGGUGAGUAACACGUGGGUAACCUGCCCAUAAGAGGGGGAUAACAUCCGGAAACGGGUGCUAAUACCGCAUAGUUUUCUUGAUCGCAUGAUCGGGAAAGGAAAGACGGCCUUUGUGCUGUCGCUUAUGGAUGGACCCGCGGCGUAUUAGUUAGUUGGUGAGGUAACGGCUCACCAAGACGAUGAUACGUAGCCGACCUGAGAGGGUGAUCGGCCACAUUGGGACUGAGACACGGCCCAAACUCCUACGGGAGGCAGCAGUAGGGAAUCUUCCGCAAUGGACGAAAGUCUGACGGAGCAACGCCGCGUGAGUGAAGAAAGGUUUUCGGAUCGUAAAACUCUGUUGUCAGAGAAGAACAAGUUGGAGAGUAACUGCUCCAGCCUUGACGGUAUCUGACCAGAAAGCCACGGCUAACUACGUGCCAGCCGCUGC
Molecule: ribosomal RNA, 521 nt
Filed under: uncultured bacterium
Lineage: Bacteria
Description: bacterial SSU rRNA
Rfam family: Bacterial small subunit ribosomal RNA
Source: RNAcentral